UGUUCAAGUAGUGGCUUGGACGUCGAUGAGGACGUCGACAGCUUGAGUGGGGGAGAAUUGUCACGAGCUUAUCCGCAGGCAUGUCGCAGGGGGUGCCGGCGUGAGCAUGGCACGGUGCUACGAAGGAUUUGGCUUGGCCAAAAUUUGCAAUGCUACUCGAUCAUUUGGAACCCCUUAGGUGAGAUUUGGGGAGAUGCCUUGCU
Molecule: long non-coding RNA, 203 nt
Filed under: Elaeis guineensis (African oil palm)
Lineage: Eukaryota; Viridiplantae; Streptophyta; Magnoliopsida; Arecales; Arecaceae
Description: long non-coding RNA (EGUI_LNC032800)
Source: RNAcentral